UAAGGUCAAGUAGAAAAGGGCGCACGGUGAAUGCCUAGGCACUAACAGCCGAUGAAGGACGUGACGAACUACGAAAAGCUUCGGGGAGCGGUAAGUACGCAGUGAUCCGGAGAUGUCCGAAUGGGGGAACCCAAUGCAGCGAUGCAUUAUUGGUUGAUGAAUAGAUAGUCAAUCAAAGGAAGACGCAGUGAACUGAAACAUCUAAGUAGCUGCAGGAAGAGAAAGAAAAAUCGAUUUCCUUAGUAGCGGCGAGCGAAGAGGAAAGAGCCCAAACCAAGUGAUUUAUCAUUUGGGGUUGUAGGACUGCAAAGUGGUAGCGUAAGCGAUAGUUGAAUUAUCUGGGAAGGUAAGCCAGAGAGGGUGAGAGCCCCGUAAGCGAAAUUGCGAGCGCACCUAGCAGAAUCCUGAGUAGGCCGGGACACGAGGAAUCCCGGUUGAAGCCGCGAGGACCAUCUCGCAAGGCUAAAUACUAGUUAGUGACCGAUAGUGAACCAGUACCGUGAGGGAAAGGUGAAAAGAACCCCGGAAGGGGAGUGAAAGAGAACCUGAAACCGGGUGUCUACAAGUAGUCAAAGCACAUUAAAGUGCGAUGGCGUGCCUUUUGUAGAAUGAACCGGCGAGUUACGUUAUGGUGCAAGGUUAAGUCAGAAAAGACGGAGCCGGAGCGAAAGCGAGUCUGAAUAGGGCGAAAGAGUAUCAUGACGUAGACCCGAAACCAAGUGACCUACCCAUGACCAGGUUGAAGGCGUGGUAAAACACGCUGGAGGACCGAACCCACGUGAGUUAAAAAUCGCGGGGAUGAGUUGUGGGUAGCGGUGAAAUUCCAAACGAACUUGGAGAUAGCUGGUUCUCUCCGAAAUAGCUUUAGGGCUAGCCUCGUGGAGAGGAUAAUGGAGGUAGAGCUCUGUUUGGACUAGGGGCCCGUCAGGGGUUACUGAAUCCAGAUAAACUGCGAAUUCCAUAUAUCCAUACACGGGAGUCAGACUGCGAGUGAUAAGAUCCGUAGUCGAAAGGGAAACAGCCCAGAUCACCAGUUAAGGUCCCCAAAUCUAUGCUAAGUGGAAAAGGAUGUGGAGUUGCGUAGACAACUAGGACGUUGGCUCAGAAGCAGCCAUCAUUCAAAGAGUGCGUAAUAGCUCACUAGUCGAGUGGCGCUGCGCCGAAAAUUUACCGGGGCUAAGCAUAGUACCGAAACUGUGGAUGCAUCGAAAGAUGCGUGGUAGGAGAGCGUUCUAAGUGCGGUGAAGGUUAACCGAGAGGAUAAUUGGAGCGCUUAGAAGUGAGAAUGCCGGUAUGAGUAGCGAAAGACAGGUGAGAAUCCUGUCCGCCGAAAGACUAAGGUUUCCUGGGGCAGGCUCGUCCGCCCAGGGUAAGUCGGGACCUAAGGCAAGGCCGAGAGGCGUAGUCGAUGGAUAACAGGUAGAAAUUCCUGUACUGUGUUUAAUCGUUAUGAGCGAUGGAGGGACGCAGGAGGUGAAACACGCAUCGAGCUGGAUCGAUGUUCAAGCAACAAGUGCGGUUAAGAGUCAAAUGCUUCUAACCAGCAACACGAGUUGUGAUGAGUAGCGAAGUAAUAGUAGCGAAGGUGAUGUAAUCACACUGCCAAGAAAAGCUUCUAGCCAGAGAGAACACACCCGUACCGCAAACCGACACAGGUAGUCGAGUGGAGAACACUAAGGUGAGCGAGAGAACUCUCGUUAAGGAACUCGGCAAAAUGACCCCGUAACUUCGGAAGAAGGGGUGCUGGCCAUGAGAGUGGUUAGCCGCAGUGAAUAGGCCCAAACAACUGUUUAUCAAAAACACAGGUCUCUGCAAAAUCGUAAGAUGACAUUUAGAGGCUGACACCUGCGCGGUGCUGGAAGGUUAAGAGGAGAGCUUAGCGAAAGCGAAGGUUCGAAUUGAAGCCCCAGUAAACGGCGGCCGUAACUAUAACGGUCCUAAGGUAGCGAAAUUCCUUGUCGGGUAAGUUCCGACCUGCACGAAAGGUGUAAUGAUUUGGGCACUGUCUCAACGAGAGACUCGGUGAAAUUAUAAUA
RNAcentral lists this ribosomal RNA (2036 nucleotides) under Enterococcus sp. RNAcentral describes it as "partial 23S ribosomal RNA". It matches the Rfam family "Bacterial large subunit ribosomal RNA", at positions 1 to 2049 of the family's 2925-position model. The record is from RNAcentral. Lineage: Bacteria; Bacillati; Bacillota; Bacilli; Lactobacillales; Enterococcaceae.